AUUGACAAGCCUCUCAAAGCCCAGUGUCAUCAGAUCUCGGAAGCUAGGCAGGGUUGGGCCCUGGUUAGUACUUGGAUGGGAGACCUCUGGGAAUACCGGGUGUCACAC
This 108-nucleotide ribosomal RNA is filed under the name Periophthalmus magnuspinnatus. The record is from RNAcentral. Lineage: Eukaryota; Metazoa; Chordata; Actinopteri; Gobiiformes; Gobiidae.